Molecule: ribosomal RNA, 253 nt
Filed under: uncultured bacterium
Lineage: Bacteria
Description: partial 16S ribosomal RNA
Rfam family: Bacterial small subunit ribosomal RNA
Source: RNAcentral
UACGGGGGGGGCAAGCGUUGUUCGGAAUUACUGGGCGUAAGGGGCGCGUAGGCGGUUCGCUAAGUUGGAUGUGAAAACUCUGGGCUCAACCCAGAGCCUGCAUCCAAAACUGGCGGGCUAGAGUUCUGGAGGGGGUAGCGGAAUUCCUGGUGUAGCGGUGAAAUGCGUAGAUAUCAGGAGGAACACCGGUGGCGAAGGCGGCUACCUGGACAGAAACUGACGCUGAGGCGCGAAAGCUAGGGGAGCAAACAGG